Molecule: long non-coding RNA, 689 nt
Filed under: Capsicum annuum
Lineage: Eukaryota; Viridiplantae; Streptophyta; Magnoliopsida; Solanales; Solanaceae
Description: long non-coding RNA (CANN_LNC009976)
Source: RNAcentral
UCCAUAAUCAUCAGUCACCAUCACUAACCACCUUUGCCACCACCACCAUUGCCAACCACCACCUAGCCACCAACUACCAGUAUCACCAACCACCUCUACCAUCACAACCACCAUUCACAGUCAUAAUUGCUACUAACCACUAUUUUCAGUAGCUAUCGUGUCUACCACUUCCAUUAUUUUAAUUAUAUCCACCGUUAUAACCACCACCAAUGCCAACACUGACGCCAACACUUCCAACACCAAUACCAUCAUCAAUCAUUAUCGGCCAAUCACAACUACUAACCAACUCAUCUGUCAUAACUAGCGCCACCGCUACCUACCACUAACACAUUAUCAACAUCUAUACAUUCUUCGGCCACCACCACUGCCAUUGUCACCGGUGCCGCCACCUCUCCACCGCUUCAACCACCGUCAUCGCUACAGUAUAUCUCUAUUAAUAAUCAUCUCCACCAUCACAACUAACAUCUCCAACUGCCACCAACAUAUCGUCAACCAUCAUGCAUUCAUUUGUUAAGCUAUCACAAUCAACACCUCCAACUACCAACAUCAACCAACUUCACAUCACUACCUCCACCACUACCAAUUGCCACCAUCAUAAUAGUCACUACAAUACCAAAAAUCUCUAACAUCACAACUAUCACUACCAAUAUUACUAAUCACUAACAUCAAUCAUUACCACCACAACUACC